GGAGGGUGCAAGAGUUGUUCGGAUUUAUUGGGCGUAAAGCGAGCGUAGGCGGUUUGACAAGUCGGGUGUGAAAUCCCAGGGCCCAACCCGGAAACUGCAUCCGAUACUGUCAGGCUAGAGUCCCGGAGAGGAUGGCGGAAUUCCCGGUGUAGGGGUGAAAUCCGUAGAUAUCGGGAGGAACACCAGUGGCGAAGGCGGCCAUCUGGACGGUGACUGACGCUGAGACUCGAAAGUGUGGGUAGCAAACAGGAUUAGAUACCCUGGUAGUCCACACCGUAAACGGUGAGAGCUCGUCGUAGUGGGUAUUGACCCCUGCUGUGACCAAGUUAACGCAUGAAGCUCUCCGCCUGGGAAGUACGGUCGCAAGACUAAAACUCAAAGAAAUUGACGGGGGCCCGCACAAGCGGUGGAGCAUGUUGUUUAAUUCGAAGCAACGCGCAGAACCUUACCUGGAUUUGACAUCUCGGGAAUCUCUCUGAAAGGAGAGAGUGCCUUCGGGAACCCGAUGACAGGUGCUGCAUGGCUGUCGUCAGCUCGUGUCGUGAGGUGUUGGGUUAAGUCCCGCAACGAGCGCAACCCCUAUCGUUAGUUGCUAGCAGUUCGGCUGAGCACUCUAGCGAGACUGCCGGUGUUAAACCGGAGGAAGGUGGGGACGACGUCAAGUCCUCAUGGCCUUUAUGUCCAGGGCUACUAACGUGCUACAAUGGUCGGUACAGACGGUCGCGAACCUGCGAAGGUAAGCCAAUCCUACAAAGCCGGCCUCAGUUCGGAUUGGAGUCUGCAAUUCGACUCCAUGAAGGCGGAAUCGCUAGUAAUCGCAGAUCAGCAUGUUGCGGUGAAUACGUUCCCGGGCCUU
This 856-nucleotide ribosomal RNA is filed under the name uncultured organism. RNAcentral describes it as "bacterial SSU rRNA". It matches the Rfam family "Bacterial small subunit ribosomal RNA", at positions 527 to 1382 of the family's 1533-position model. The record is from RNAcentral.